RNAcentral lists this ribosomal RNA (480 nucleotides) under uncultured bacterium. RNAcentral's name for it is "SSU rRNA". It matches the Rfam family "Bacterial small subunit ribosomal RNA", at positions 26 to 521 of the family's 1533-position model. The record is from RNAcentral.
AGGACGAACGCUGGCGGCGUGCUUAACACAUGCAAGUCGAACGGUGAGGCCUUUCGGGGCUGAUCAGUGGCGAACGGGUGAGUAACACGUGGGCAAUCUGCCCCAGAUUCUGGGACAACACCGGGAAACCGGUGCUAAUACCGGAUAUGACGCGUCCCCGCAUGGGGUGCGCGUGGAAAGCUCCGGCGAUCUGGGAUGAGCCCGCGGCCUAUCAGCUUGUUGGUGGGGUAAUGGCCUACCAAGGCGACGACGGGUAGCCGGCCUGAGAGGGCGACCGGCCACACUGGGACUGAGACACGGCCCAGACUCCUACGGGAGGCAGCAGUGGGGGAAUAUUGCACAAUGGGCGAAAGCCUGAUGCAGCGACGCCGCGUGAGGGAUGACUGCCUUCGGGUUGUAAACCUCUUUCAGCAGGGAAGAAGCGCAAGUGACGGUACCUGCAGAAGAAGCACCGGCUAACUACGCGCCAGCAGCCGCGGU